GUUUUCAUAGUUUAAAAAAAACAUUACAUUUUCACUGUAAAAAUAAAUAAUUGUAAUUUUGUAAAUA
RNAcentral lists this transfer RNA (67 nucleotides) under Pheosiopsis cinerea. RNAcentral describes it as "tRNA-Glu". Lineage: Eukaryota; Metazoa; Arthropoda; Insecta; Lepidoptera; Notodontidae. The record is from RNAcentral.